UACGUAGGUGGCAAGCGUUGUCCGGAAUUAUUGGGCGUAAAGCGCGCGCAGGCGGUCCUUUAAGUCUGAUGUGAAAGCCCACGGCUCAACCGUGGAGGGUCAUUGGAAACUGGGGGAAUUGAGUACAGAAGAGAAGAGUGGAAUUCCACGUGUAGCGGUGAAAUGCGUAGAGAUGUGGAGGAACACCAGUGGCGAAGGCGACUCUUUGGUCUGUAACUGACGCUGAGGCGCGAAAGCGUGGGGAGCAAACAGG
Molecule: ribosomal RNA, 253 nt
Filed under: uncultured bacterium
Lineage: Bacteria
Description: partial 16S ribosomal RNA
Rfam family: Bacterial small subunit ribosomal RNA
Source: RNAcentral